This 555-nucleotide long non-coding RNA is filed under the name Phaseolus vulgaris (common bean). RNAcentral's name for it is "long non-coding RNA (PVUL_LNC004353)". The record is from RNAcentral. Lineage: Eukaryota; Viridiplantae; Streptophyta; Magnoliopsida; Fabales; Fabaceae.
CCCAAUAGAAGCACACCAUUUAGUGCAGAAAAGUCCUUAGAUAACCAUUUUUCUCAGUCUAGUCUAUCAAAGUUGAAGCCACGAGCAUAUGUAGUUUGAGGUGAGAUACAUGUCAAGUAACAGAGGUGCAGUAAUUUUAGAGCAAAGAAGAACUAAAUACAGAAAUUAACUAUUAUUAAAGGAUCCAGAUACAUUGUUGGAAUUUCUACGAAGUUGGUGUUUUGUCCUAGCAACAUAAUGCUAAUGACUCUCUGGAAUUAAGCAUGACUAGAGUCAUGUGGUUGUGAAGUGUGUUCGUGAGACUCCUCCUCAGCCACCUGCACCUUGCUGCAAAUGGCUCUCCCUGCUUCUUCUACCAUUCUGACCAAGUUGGUCAUUAUCUUGGCUUUGAUUUGCCCUCUUCUUGGAGGAACUCUAACCAUCUUAGCAGCUGGAGAAUCAACUUUUUCAUUGGUUUUUGGCAUUGCUUCAAGGGAAUAAGUUUUGAGGAUGAGUAGUAGAACAGAAGCAGUAGAUAGUUUAUGCCAGACACAAAAGAAAAGGAAACAAGAUUCA